GGGCACAUGGGGCGUGCCUAUACUGCAAGUCGAACGAACUUCCGUUAAUUGAUUAUGACGUGCUUGCACUGAAUGAGAUUUUAACACGAAGUGAGUGGCGGACGGGUGAGUAACACGUGGGUAACCUGCCCAGAAGCAGGGGAUAACACCUGAGAAACAGAUGCUAAUACCGUUAUAACAGAAGAAAACCGCCUGGUUUUCUUUUAAAAGAUGGCUCUGCUAUCACUUCUGGAUGGACCCGCGGCGCAUUAGCUAGUUGGUGAGGUAACGGCUCACCAAGGCGAUGAUGCGUAGCCGACCUGAGAGGGUAAUCGGCCACAUUGGGACUGAGACACGGCCCAGACUCCUACGGGAGGCAGCAGUAGGGAAUCUUCCACAAUGGACGCAAGUCUGAUGGAGCAACGCCGCGUGAGUGAAGAAGGGUUUCGGCUCGUAAAGCUCUGUUGUUAAAGAAGAACGUGGGUGAGAGUAACUGUUCACCCAGUGACGGUAUUUAACCAGAAAGCCACGGCUAACUACGUGCCAGCAGCCGCGGUAAUACGUAGGUGGCAAGCGUUAUCCGGAUUUAUUGGGCGUAAAGCGAGCGCAGGCGGUCUUUUAAGUCUAAUGUGAAAGCCUUCGGCUCAACCGAAGAAGUGCAUUGGAAACUGGGAGACUUGAGUGCAGAAGAGGACAGUGGAACUCCAUGUGUAGCGGUGAAAUGCGUAGAUAUAUGGGAAGAACACCAGGUGGCGGAGGGCGGGCUGUCUUGUUCUGUAACCUGACGCCCGGGGGCUCCAAAAGCAUGGGGUAGCCGAACAAGGAUUAAAAUACCCCUGGUUGGUCCCUGGCCGGUAAACCGAAUGAUUUC
Molecule: ribosomal RNA, 850 nt
Filed under: bacterium
Lineage: Bacteria
Description: bacterial SSU rRNA
Rfam family: Bacterial small subunit ribosomal RNA
Source: RNAcentral